GAUGAAGAACGUAGCGAAAUGCGAUAAGUAAUGUGAAUUGCAGAAUUCAGUGAAUCAUCGAAUCUUUGAACGCACAUUGCGCCCCUUGGUAUUCCAUGGGGCAUGCCUGUUCGAGCGUCAUUAUCACCCCUCAAGCCCUCGGCUUGGUGUUGGACGGUUUGGUGGAGUCCCCCUCGGGGGUUCCUGCCCCUCCCAAAGACAAUGACGGCGGCCUCGUUGGACCCCCGGUACACUGAGUUCUUCACGGGACACGUAUCGGACACAUGGGUUUACGGGACACGGUCUGCCUCCCCUCAGGGAGAAUCUUUCUAAGGUUGACCUCGGAUCAGGUAGGGAUACCCGCUGAACUUAAGCAUAUCAAUAAGCGGAGGA
Molecule: unclassified non-coding RNA, 372 nt
Filed under: soil metagenome
Description: partial contains 5.8S ribosomal RNA, internal transcribed spacer 2, and large subunit ribosomal RNA
Rfam family: 5.8S ribosomal RNA (bases 1-120)
Source: RNAcentral